Non-coding RNA from Hyaena hyaena (striped hyena), 74 nucleotides. NCBI's taxonomy places the organism in Eukaryota, Metazoa, Chordata, Mammalia, Carnivora, Hyaenidae. The record is from the annotation of a RefSeq genome assembly.
GCCUGGGUGGCUUAGUUGGUUAAGCGUCAGACUUUUGAUCUUGUGGUUCGUGGGUUCAAGCCCCGCGUCAGGCU